GAUUUCUGGUGGAGAGGCACCAACACAUGCCUGUUCCUGUCCACCCUCCUUCCAGCAGCAUGACCUACCUUCUAGAAUAUACCACAGAGAAAGGCAGCUACUCGAAACUCAGGGAGCCUAAUCUGUGCCUUUCAGAAUGGAGCCUGCUCACUCGAGAUGGGGGACAGACAGGAGACUGGCCACUGGGAGGUCAGCGGAGGCUUGGGGAGUCAUGGUGCCUCAUGAGUGGCUUCUGAAGGUCAAAGAAUGGACAGCCUCUGACUGUAGCUCUUCUAGCUGCUCCACAACUCGGAGAUACUCCAGGACAUUUUGUCAUCAUCUCAGGACCAGUCUUACUCCUGCAUCCAUGGGGGGCGCUGCCUCUCUGAUAAAAAAGAAGGGAGGGGGGAAAUCAUGUUUCCUUUUCCUUCUGAAAGAGCAUGUCUCCUCAUCAAGGUCUUCUGAAGAGCACCAGCCAACCCGCUGUGGACGAUCAGGCAAACAGGGCGUCAGGCCAGUGGCUUCAGGCGUGAGCUCAGUGAUCCAUCUUUACUCUCUUCCAGGAGACAGGGUGCAUACUGUGCUCCUGUUGGCAUGGUGACUGAUUCAAAAGGAGCAGACUGGCCAUUGACUAUCACCAUUUGCCAUCACAGCUGCUGGUGCUGCUGCUGCUGCCUCAGAUGCCAGGCCACAUGUGGACAGGCAAGAGUCAGCAGGAGCUUGGAGCGCAGAGUAUGGACUUCUACAUCGGUUUCUCAAGACAGCGCCAACCACAAAGGACACCGACAGACUCUCUAGCAUCAGCAUCUGCCACAGACAUAAGCAUCAUUUCCCCUGGUAGUACCAACCAUGGUGCAGCAGGGCCAUGUCAUGUUCUACUUUAAUGAUGGAGAUCCAUGUCUGUGAGAAAUCUCAGUGACUUUCUCUCUACUUUAGCAUUUUAAAGUGAAAGUGGAACAUUGAGAGAUGCCUCUAAUUCCCAGGAUGCUUACUGUUCGGGAAGUAACCUAGCUUUUCUCCAGUCUCUGUUCUCAGACUACUCUCCAGAGUCACCUGUGCAGAGCCAUGUGGGAGUAUCAUGAAUCAUGUUGAACAUCCUAGAAGAACUUUCCAGAAAUUCUGAAGGAAACAAGAUGCGGCUUACUGGCACUUUCCAACAAGACUCUAAAGAGCACUCUCUCUGACAUGACACAAUGGGGUCUCGAAUGAAGAAAGUUAUUUCCAUCAGCCCAGUGGGUGAGUGUGCUCUCAUCGACGCUGCCAUUUGGAUACACUUUUAAAAAGGAGGAAAAUAUUCAGGUUUUUAAAACUCUUCACUUCUGAUGAAUGUUCCUCUCUGUGCAUGUGCACGAGCUCAAACACACACACACACACACACACACACACACACACACACACACACACACACAUUAUCAUAAUCUCUGCUUUUGGGAGGAGAUAACAGAGUCCCAGGACAGUGACCGUCAGCUACACAGCAAGUCUUUGAUGGAUGUCCCUAUCCCAAGCUUCUUGCAAAUGAGGGAAACCUGCCAGAGAGGUUGAUAAGGGGUAACAGUUUCCCAGCUCCCAUCAUCCUCUGUCUCCUGAGGGUCUCAGGUUAGCUUUCUAGCUGCCAAAACAAAAUCUCUUGAAUUUCAAAGACACCAACAGGUGGUGACAAUGUUAAUGGAUGCUAAUGGACAUGACCCGACUGAUUACAUCUGGCUCACUGGCUCCUGUGGAUAUCUUAGGAAAUAUUUUGGGGAGCCUGUCCCUUUUACUCCCACUCUAUACUAAAGCCAGUUCGUUCUACCACAUGCCUUCCAGGCUGGGGCUUGAAAGGUGGCAUUUCUUACAGCUGGACUCAGCGAGGUCCCCAGCCCUAGGGAGAACAGGUGGACUUCCAGGAAUCCGCCUUGCGUUGCUCUGGAUCCUUGCUGGAAUCUGUGAACUCGAGCCAUUCCCUCCAGAUCAUCCAAUCCUCCCAGCCGGGCCCCUUAUCUGGAGCUAGAGAACCAAGCGCUGCCGGGCAGGGAGACUUGUUUCCCACACGGCGCCUAUCAUCACAUUUUUAUCAUUUGAAACUUGAGUUACUCGGUAAGAUUUAAUGUUUUCAUCUAUCCAUCGGACUUUCUUUCAAGGCUCUGAGGAUCGCAUGUACGGAGCCAGGACCAUUUCCAGCCCUGCGCCAGCCAGGAGACCAUUUUUCUUCGUUUGUGUUUCUAAACCAUUCUUUUUAGUGUGCCCUCCCCCUUCAGUCUACUUAAAUGGAAUUGGGCUCUGGAAGUUUCCUGUCACUACAUAAAGCACUUUGGGGUGCUAAAGGGCCCCCUCUCUUCCUUUUUUUUUCUUAUCUGGGGUUUAGUUCACUAACUUAUUUGGUCUGUAUUUAAAAAUAUUUACUGGGCCAAGAAUCAAGGUCAACAAUUAAGAAGUGGGACCUCCUAAAACUAAAAUGAUUCUGCCUGGUGAAAGAAAAAAUUGAGGGAAAAGGAAACCUACAGAAAAGGAAAACAAUCUUUACCAGCUACACAUCUGACAGAGGAUAAUAUCCAGAAUAUAUGAAGAACGAGAGAGAGAGAGAGAUAGAGAUAGAGAGAGAGAGAGAGAGAGAGAGAGAGAGAGAGAGAGAGAGAGAGAGAAAAGACAAAACAACCCCCAAAAAAACAAAUGUCCUCCUUCAAAAAAUGGGCUCUGGGUCUGAACAAAGAGUUAUCAAGAAAAGAAAUAAAAGUAGCUAAGAAAUAUCUCAAAACUAUUUAUUGUCCCUAGCCAUUAGAAAAAUGCAAAUUAAAACUCCUUUGCAGUUUCAUCUUAGACCAGUCAGACCAGCAAAGAUAAACAACCAACUACAAGUGCUGGAGGGGAUGUGGGGAAAGGGAGUUGUUGGGGGCCUUUUUGAACUGGUCCAGCCACGCUGGAAGUCAGUGUGGAGAGCCCUCCCGUGUGACCCUGUGUCAGCUCCUCAGUGUAUGCCCAGAUAAUGCCACCUCCUACUCUACAGAUGCUUGCUUGGCCAUAGUCAUUGCUGUUCUAGUCACCACAGCUAGACAUGAAUAAAACAAACAGCCUUCAUGUCUUACAUCUGACAAGUGGGUAAUUAAAAUGGGGUACACAUACACUCUGAGAUGCUGUGAAGAAAAAGGAAAUGAUGAGAUCUGCAGACAAAUGGAUGGAACUAGAAAAGAUCACGCUGAGGGAGGAAACCCAGAUCCAGAGAGACAAAUGCCACAUAUUCUCUCAUCUGUGGACCCCAGCGCCCCAUCUUCAGGGCUGAAUACAAAGCCUGGAAUAAACACAGAAUCCAGACAAGUAAAAAGGAACCACCAUGAGAGGGAGCAAUGGAGAGGGAAAGAGCAGGGUUUAUGGAACCCCCACUGGAGAAGUAGGAGAAACAGGGAUGUACUUACUGGGGAGGGAGAGGUCAAUACAGAGAGAGGGCAAGAGGAGGGCAAGGUAAAACAACAGUAAUGAUGUCUGAAUAAGCCAUAAAGAACCAAAAUAUCUGUUUACCUAAAAUUACAUAUAACACAUAUAAGUCUAUGUAUAUACGUAUAGAAUUUAAAUGACAAUUUCCCAUCAAGGUUGACAAUGAUUCUCCCAAGAGCCAUGGACUAAAACAACCUCCUCCCUCCAACACCCCCUCCCCCCUUCAAUACCAUGCAUGAGAAUCCCCUCAUGAGUUGUUGGGCAGGGAAGCCCAAGAGACUCCAAUAACACUAUAGGCUAUUGAUAAUGCCUUCGAUUGCCUCACAGACAUUGAGACUGAAUCCGUACUUGCUGAAGACACUACACACUUGGGACAUAAUGGUCCAAGCUGGAUCUCACCAUAAAAGGGUCCCCCCGGAGGACUACCUUGUUUGGUACCAGAAAGCACCGUGUAAGCUUCCAGGGGAGGGAUGCAGCCAGUAGUCCUCCUCCGCAGCUGGGAUGCUUACAAAGGACAACCACCAGCAUGGCCCAACAACCCUCAGGGUACAGUAGUGCAUGCAUACCCUGGUGGUUACCUUGGUUAGUUGGACUUAAGGCUCAACAGAGGGGAAAUUUUCCCUGACACUGGAACCCUAGCCAACUACUUAGGGUUAGUGAGGUCAAGAAUCUUAGAGGAUAACCUACAACCGAAACUUUACCAAAUCAACCUAAUUCCUAACUACUUUUGACUACUUGUCCUUAAUAGACAAGUGUAUACAGCUCUAACCCCUUAGCAAAGAAACUGCUCUUUGCAACAGACAGAGAGCAUUACAGAAAGUUACAACCAAUCAAAAUGCAGAGAACAAGUGACCAUGAAUGGUGCCCAGUUCCAGUUGUUCCAUCUACAGCACAGCUCUGUAGCGAAGGCUCUGGGAACAAGGGAAAGGAGGCAGAAGGAUUGUAAGGGUAAGGAUCGGAUGAACAAGAUGUCUGCUGUGAGAUUGUGUCUCUCAGAAAUGUCAGGGAAGCUGUACCCAUGAAGUCUCGUCAACGUGGCUGCCUAAACAACACAUGAACAACGCUGAUAAAAAUAGGCAUGCUAACGUGGAAGGGAGAAAUCUCAUAUGGCCUCACCCUGAGACAAAGUACAGGCAACUAAAGAAUGCUGAGGGUGGGAGAGAUAGCCUUCACCCGGGCAAAGCCCCCCAACUGCUUCUCCGACACCAAGUGUUCAUUUCUGCAACAAUAUACAUACAAUUAACAUAUAUAGACUGAGGAGACUGUGUUUUAUAUAUCUAAGAAUAUAUAUGUGUGCAACAACUAAAGAAAAAGAGGCCAUGAACUUGAGCGAGAACAGGGAAGGGGACAUGAAGUAAGUGGCAAGGAGGAAACUGGAAGGGGGAAUUAUCUAAUUAUAUACUAUUUACUGAGUAUUGUGGGCAAUGUAAAAUGAGAAUGUAGGUUCUGAUGGCUCUCAAGUCAUGCAUUUGAUAAACCUAAUGUGAAAAUAGACUACAGAGAGGCACACGUGUAUCAUCACUGGAAGUGACAUCCAUCGCUCUCCCACCACACAGUUGCCUGUCUGUACCAGGCACUGGCAUGUUUUUGCAAACUCUGUUAUAUUCUGUUUGUUUGGACGUUUGUUAAUCUUAACAAAUCUAACAACCAUAAGCUCCACUUAGGUGCAAUGAGAAUAAAUAGAGGUCAGUUAGAACUGUUCUGUCUAGCUAGCCAAAUUAGCUUGAGUCAGAGCCGACCACUGGGCAGCACUUCCUGCACCUGCCCAUGAGUUUGUUAUGUUUUCUUCCUUUGUAAGCUGGCCUUGAGGACUGUUUGGAGCCAUAGCCUCAGCCCCUGAAUUCUUUUUUCCCCCUGUUUAGUUGUAGGAGUUUAUUUUAAAUAACCUACAGAUGAUUAAAGGGAAAUUCAUGAUAAAAACAGCAGACACUUGAGGAAAGAUGUGGGAGUGGACUCUGCACACACACUAAACUAACAAUGCCUCUAAAACUAACGAUUAUUGCAAGAUAAAAAGUCUUCACAUUAAAAAUUUUCCGUUUUUUUGUCUUUGCCUCAUUUUUUUUUACACAAUUACAAAAGAAAAAGUAAAAGCCCUAAAAUCUUGAUUAUUUUCCCUUUUUGUUUUGUCUUUGUUUUUCUUGGCCCAAACGCUCAUUUUCCUCUAAAUUUAUUGACCUGUGGAAGGUUUUAUACAAUAAAAUCUUUCAAAUGAAAGACCCGGGUUUCCAAAGAAAAAGAUGGAUCCCUUAAAAGGUACAAAGAAUGGUCAGCGCAAAGCAUGAUGGGAAAAUGGUUUCAGUCGCUGAUUAUUUCACUAUCUUUAGACUCAUUCGCCCUUUAUCCCUCCUCAGCCUCAAGCUACAGGAUCUUUAAGAUCAAGAAGAAGACUUAAAUAUUUUAAAAUAAUUAAAAUCAAGUCAGAAAUCAAGUCAGGAAAUACUUUCCCAUCAUGCUUUUCUGUGAAUAGAUGUCUGAACCAAAACAGUGCUGAUGUCACAACUGCUUCAAGUGUGAUGAAAAUUGAUUCCCAUGACGACAGAAUGACAGCUGUAAUCAGUGUCCGAAUUCUGAGCUACAGUCCUAAUGGGUCAGUUUUAGAGUGUGCGUUCAAUAAACUAUCCCUGUCUGGCUGAGAUUGGUGUUCGUGUUGUUUGUGGAGUAACUCCUGGAUCCUCUCUCAUAAUCAAAAUGUUCCCUAAGGCAGAGUGUCUUAACAUGAGGACCAGGGAGAGAGAGUGUCCUGUCUUUUGCCAUGGUCACCUUAACUGUACUCUGCACAGAAGCUGAGACUGUUAGGCACUGGUCUACACACAUUUUGGAUGUAGAACAUCAUCUUCACUGGGAAAUGACAACCCCCUGCUUGCCAUUUUAAAGUGAAACCUGGGCAGAUAGCAAGGGCUUCAAAGAAGCCAGUGCCAGGCUGUGCCCUGGAAGCUCCCCAGAGAAAGAAAGACACCUUCUGUGCUUCGUGGUACCAUACACGCCUAGCAAGAUGUUUUUCAGAUCUACCUAUGAAUCAGAUGUGCCAAUGGAUACUGAGGACGGCUAUUGUGAAGUGAGCUAGCCAUGGCAGAUACCGCUUCCUUCCGGAAUGUGACUUUGGGUCCACCGCAAUUCUGCCUCGAGGAAGGCAUGUCUUUGUAAAUAAAGAUUUUGGUAUGAAAGCUGACAGUAUUUCCAGAUCCCUUACAACAAAUAUGAGAGGUGCAAUGAGGCUGAAAAUCUUAAUUGUUUUCUGACACACAUGGUAAGGAAAUACAUGGGAUCUAUUUUCUCUGAAAAUUAACAUUUUAUUUUUCUGGCCAAUUGGGAACUCCAUGAUCAAAUAAAAUCCUAAACGUUUUUAAGUGAACGAAAAACUUGAGGAAGGCCAUGCAAAAUAAUUCCAACUGUUUUUUUUCCAAAAUAUGGACAUUCUGAAUAGUGGCUGUGAUCAAGAAAAAGUGAGCCUGCAGCCAGCUGACUGAUACACUUGCAUAAGAAAUGAGAUGGGGAAUUUGGAUGAUCUGUCAGCAACCUGUAAAGAAAGCAUAUAUCUUUUUCCUGGGGUUAUAUCUGGCUACUUGAGUCUGCGGCCAGUCAGUGGAAUAUAGUUAGUUCCACCUGGCAUGUUUUCCCUUCAAGAACACAUUCCUUAUCUUAUGAAUACUUGGCUGCUCUUUUCAUUUUUGAUGUUUUAAAAAAUGGCAUUCCUUUCUUCUCUGGGUUUGGAUCUGGUUGGCUUCCAGAAAUGCGUUCUACCGACUGUGAAGAUGGGACAGGGCAGGCUGAGCGGUUGCUUUGUUCCAGCAGUGGGCUCUCAGGCUGUAGGCAUCAGCCGCAGUACCACAUGGGCCUUUCCCACAAACCCCUGAGGAUCGUGCAGCUUCCCUGGUGGUGGAGGACACCUGGUGGAGUUCUGCCUGCAAGAGCACACUUGGCAUCUGAUGAUAUCCAGCACAACACAGCCCCCAGAGAUGCUCGCCUCCCGCUCUGCUCUGGCCUUAUUUGCUACAGUAUUCCAUGACAAAGGCCCCGGUUUGUGCUUUGUAACUUGUGAUAUCAGAAUCUAAGUCUUUGAUUAUAAACGUUUGACUUUCCGUGUUUAUAAUUUAAAAGACAAAAACAAGCUUCAGGAAUCAUUGCAGCCCGUGGUGCAUUGGAUGCUAUGACUGUGGUUUUAAUGCCUUUAUUAAGGAGGAACAAGGCAGUCAUCUGUAAUCGUUUAACUGUAAGACCACUUUCUUCCAAACUCAAAGCAAUAUAAUUUUUCAUACAAAAUUUUCAAGCAACUUAAUGAAAGUGGGGGUUCAUCUCAUUGGUCAAGAUGAUGCUCAGAGUGCACAUUUCUCUUGCUCUCUUCAGGUCUACGGCUAGUCCACUAGCCAGGGACACCAACCACACUAUGGCUAUAUAAUAGCAUCAAGAAAAUCAGUGUGAAACCUACCUGAUCAUUGGUAAAGGCUUGAAACUUUCUGUUAUGUUUUUAUUAUUACGACAUCAUUAUUAUUGUUGUUGUUAUUAUUCAGGCUCUCUCUAUAUAGUCCAGGCUAGCCUUUAAGUUCAUUGUAAUUCCACGUUGUUCUAAGAUGACAGGAUGUUGCAGGAGCAUAGUCUCUGCUUCAGCCGUGGAGCCGUUAUUUCUCCAAGCUCCUGGCUCUUUCCUGCCAUGGGUGAGGAAGCUGCUGUUUUCUAGCCCUUCUCAGUAGGGAGUCACAAGCUUUACAGUGUUUAGAUUUUUUAAAUGAUUUAAGUGGCCUUCACAGAAGACCUCAAUACAAUAUUAACCACACAUACACAUAGUUCCAGCUGCCCUGAAACUCUCUGUUUAGACCAAGCUGGCCUUGUCAUGGCAGAAUUUUAAUUUUCAUUUUGAGGAUAAUAAUA
Mus musculus (house mouse) is the source of this 8253-nucleotide long non-coding RNA. RefSeq annotates it as predicted gene, 41168. NCBI's taxonomy places the organism in Eukaryota, Metazoa, Chordata, Mammalia, Rodentia, Muridae. The transcript has 5 exons. The record is from RefSeq and is a predicted model, not a curated record.